GUGUGUGUGUGUGUGGUGUGAGUGUGUGUGGUGUGAGUGUGUGUGGUUUGCGCAGCUCCAGCAUGCGGAGCAUCUGGGCAUGCGCGGCGCACCGCGGCUGCUUAUGCUGAUGCCCUCGCACCCGCAGUGCACGCAACAUCUCCGUCGCCAGUGUGCUCGUCUGCUGCGCAGACUCGCGACUCAAUAAUGAUCCUUCCGCAGGUUCACCUACGGAAA
This 216-nucleotide unclassified non-coding RNA is filed under the name uncultured fungus. RNAcentral describes it as "sequence contains ITS1". Lineage: Eukaryota; Fungi. The record is from RNAcentral.